GAUGAACGCUAGCUACAGGCUUAACACAUGCAAGUCGAGGGGUAACGACAGCGAAAGCUUGCUUUUGCUGGGCGACGACCGGCGAAUGGGUGAGUAACGCGUAUCCAACCUGCCGCAAAGUAGGGCACAGCCUUGCGAAAGUAAGAUUAAUGCCCUAUGUGCUGUGAUGAUGACAUCAGAAUUGCAGUAAAGGUUCACCGCUUUGCGAUGGGGAUGCGUCUGAUUAGGUUGUUGGCGGGGUAACGGCCCACCAAGCCCGCGAUCAGUAGGGGUUCUGAGAGGAAGGUCCCCCACAUUGGAACUGAGACACGGUCCAAACUCC
Molecule: ribosomal RNA, 322 nt
Filed under: uncultured Prevotella sp.
Lineage: Bacteria; Pseudomonadati; Bacteroidota; Bacteroidia; Bacteroidales; Prevotellaceae
Description: bacterial SSU rRNA
Rfam family: Bacterial small subunit ribosomal RNA
Source: RNAcentral